UAUGAAUUCCAGAUUUGAUUUCAGACUCUGGGGAUGUAUAUUCCUCUUUUGGAACUUGUAUAUCCGGUCCUGGGAUGAAAAAAAGGUGGGGGGGGGAGGGAAGGGGGAGGGUCCCCAGCAUAACAAGCAUUCCUUGUGCUCCUUCUCUUUCACACGCUGAGCACGCCGGGAGGGACGAGAGCGCACACACACACGCACAGCGUCUGGAUAAACUCAGCCCGAUGCGCUUCGGAACUCAGAAGGACUUCAUUCUAAAACAGUGCUGAAGAACGUGAAGCACGAGGGUUCAGAAAGUUCACAAUGUGUAUCCUGAAAAGACUUACGCGUGGAUUUCAAAUUUUCGCACCAAAAUAAACUUAGCUUUGAAUUCCAUUUUCCACACACUUGCUCAAGUGCCCACCUAUAGUAACUUUCCUUUGAUCAGGUUGAUGUUUCCAAAGCGCUAGUCCCUUGGAUGCUGGCCUGGGGCGACCGUCCCGUGGAUGGCUUGUGCUUCAUUUCAUGAAUGACCAUUGAACAAGCUGGUUCUGAAUGCCUAGCCGGGUCCUGCAAGCUGCUUUUCUGGAAAAAUAAUUCGUGGCUCGCUCUGAAACAUCUGCUCUGAGCGACUUCCCAUGCUCCAAUGUACUCCUUUGGAGAUUACAACUCAGAUUGUACUUGCUGCGGUCUCGCACUUGGAUGACUCACGUUAGCCUCGUUGCUACUCCUCUGUUGCCCGCACUUCCUGUGAGAAGCAGCUACCGUGGCCUGGGAGAACCAUCAGAGAAGAUGGGGACCCCAGCUGCUCAGAGAGCCGACUGGAACUUGACCUCGCAGCUGGCACAUUUAACACAGACCCAAACAAUGCCAAACGUCUCAGCCGUGUGGAUGGUUCUGUUCUGUGCAACCGUACCCCUGAGUUUUCAACCAGCAGUCAAAGACAUCAUGAACCUGCCCACUACAUCAGCUGCAUGUGAGGCUCGGAAGCCGCAUAGCUUCCAGGCUCUACCACCGUCCAAAGUGUCACCGUGUUGCAAAGCUUCCCUCCCAACAAUCUUGGAGGACGGACCACGUGGAAGACACAGCAGCUGGUGUUCCCAGAGAGACGACAACCAGAUUUUGGUGUGCGCGAGUAACAGUCUCCCAGGAUGCCUCUGCUUUUGCUUCAAGCAUGAAUUAUUUAUUUACUUAAUAGAAUGAAUAAGUACCAGGCCCGCAGGGAAGAUCUCACCCAGGGCAGUGCAGAUGUGCUGCGAAUCCUUGCAAGUUGGCCUCGGUAAGCCUCAAGCAGGGACAGGCAAGGGUUCAGAGUUUUGUUUUUCAUUGUUUUUUUCUUCUCCCCCCUCCUAUUGAAAAGGCCAAAACCAAAGAUGUUUUAAAGGAUGCCACGGCAGCAAGCCAGAGACCCCGGCUAGUGGGGCCUGGCCUCACUGAGAUGAGGGUCCCGCUGGGCCAGCCCUCGGCACCUUGUGGUCCCAUCCGCCCGCGGGCAGGCACGUUCAGCCCAAGUCCUCCUGCCGGAACCCACCGGCAGGCCGGGCGUGCGGAGAUGCGCACAUCUGACUUACUGGAAGAGAAACCACAUCAGAAAGCCUGCGACACGACAGCGCUGAGGCACCAACCCCACAUCAGAAUGCUUGGGCUGGCUGAGAAGCCCUGAAAUGUCGUGUGUAUUCUUCACUGGGAAUUAAGAACAUGUGGGCCCACUCCUAAUUAUAGCCCACCCUAACGUGUCUUUAAUUAGGGAUUGAGACACUUGGGCUGGAGGGGCCAGAUUGGAUUCAGCUACGAGAUGCAAGCCGCAUUUACUGGGUCAAACUUCCAGCAAACUUAAGUGGCCUGAACACAGUAGGUACUCCAAAGUUUUUUUUAUGAUGACAGUGAUGAUGAUAUGUGUGUGACUUACAGUGACAGGAUGAAAAUGAAGCCAAGUUUAUUCUGCUGGCUCUUUAGAGAAUGUAGACGUAGACAAGAGGACUUCAAAACGUUCACGAACAAUGGAAUUAAAAGAUAAGUUCAGGGGCCAGCGUUGUGACAUGCAGGGUCAAGCAAUGCUGGCGUCCCAUGUUGGAGCACUGGUUUGAGUCUCAGCUACUCCACUUCCCAUCCGGCUCCCUGCUAAUGCACCUACCCAGGAUAUUCACUCUCAGAAUUUGCUGUGUGUGUGCCUUGGAGUCGUUCAAUUCAGAUAGUACUCGCA
This 2179-nucleotide long non-coding RNA is filed under the name Oryctolagus cuniculus (rabbit). RNAcentral's name for it is "lncRNA (ENSOCUG00000036954.1)". The record is from RNAcentral. Lineage: Eukaryota; Metazoa; Chordata; Mammalia; Lagomorpha; Leporidae.